GUAGGUGGCAAGCGUUGUCCGGAAUUAUUGGGCGUAAAGCGCGCGCAGGCGGUUCUUUAAGUCUGAUGUGAAAGCCCACGGCUCAACCGUGGAGGGUCAUUGGAAACUGGAGAACUUGAGUACAGAAGAGGAAAGCGGAAUUCCACGUGUAGCGGUGAAAUGCGUAGAGAUGUGGAGGAACACCAGUGGCGAAGGCGGCUUUCUGGUCUGUAACUGACGCUGAGGCGCGAAAGCGUGGGGAGCAAACAGGGAUUAGAUACCCUGGUAGUCCACGCCGUAAACGAUGAGUGCUAAGUGUUAGGGGGUUCCCGCCCCCUUAGUGCUGCAGCUAACGCAUUAAGCACUCCGCCUGGGGAUACGGCCGCAAGGCUG
This 372-nucleotide ribosomal RNA is filed under the name uncultured organism. RNAcentral describes it as "partial 16S ribosomal RNA". It matches the Rfam family "Bacterial small subunit ribosomal RNA", at positions 527 to 896 of the family's 1533-position model. The record is from RNAcentral.